AUACAUGCAAGUCGAGNGACAGAUGGGAGCUUGNUCCUGAUGUAGCGGCGGACGGGUGAGUAACACGUGGGUAACCUGCCUGUAAGACUGGGAUAACUCCGGGAAACCGGGGCUAAUACCGGAUGGUUGUUUGAACCGCAUGGUUCAGACAUAAAAGGUGGCUUCGGCUACCACUUACAGAUGGACCCGCGGCGCAUUAGCUAGUUGGUGAGGUAACGGCUCACCAAGGCAACGAUGCGUAGCCGACCUGAGAGGGUGAUCGGCCACACUGGGACUGAGACACGGCCCAGACUCCUACGGGAGGCAGCAGUAGGGAAUCUUCCGCAAUGGACGAAAGUCUGACGGAGCAACGCCGCGUGAGUGAUGAAGGUUUUCGGAUCGUAAAGCUCUGUUGUUAGGGAAGAACAAGUGCCGUUCAAAUAGGGCGGCACCUUGACGGUACCUAACCAGAAAGCCACGGCUAACUACGUGCCAGCAGCCGCGGUAAUACGUAGGUGGCAAGCGUUGUCCGGAAUUAUUGGGCGUAAAGGGCUCGCAGGCGGUUUCUUAAGUCUGAUGUGAAAGCCCCCGGCUCAACCGGGGAGGGUCAUUGGAAACUGGGGAACUUGAGUGCAGAAGAGGAGAGUGGAAUUCCACGUGUAGCGGUGAAAUGCGUAGAGAUGUGGAGGAACACCAGUGGCGAAGGCGACUCUCUGGUCUGUAACUGACGCUGAGGAGCGAAAGCGUGGGGAGCGAACAGGAUUAGAUACCCUGGUAGUCCACGCCGUAAACGAUGAGUGCUAAGUGUUAGGGGGUUUCCGCCCCUUAGUGCUGCAGCUAACGCAUUAAGCACUCCGCCUGGGGAGUACGGUCGCAAGACUGAAACUCAAAGGAAUUGACGGGGGCCCGCACAAGCGGUGGAGCAUGUGGUUUAAUUCGAAGCAACGCGAAGAACCUUACCAGGUCUUGACAUCCUCUGACAAUCCUAGAGAUAGGACGUCCCCUUCGGGGGCAGAGUGACAGGUGGUGCAUGGUUGUCGUCAGCUCGUGUCGUGAGAUGUUGGGUUAAGUCCCGCAACGAGCGCAACCCUUGAUCUUAGUUGCCAGCAUUCAGUUGGGCACUCUAAGGUGACUGCCGGUGACAAACCGGAGGAAGGUGGGGAUGACGUCAAAUCAUCAUGCCCCUUAUGACCUGGGCUACACACGUGCUACAAUGGACAGAACAAAANGNCAGCGAAACCGCGAGGUUAAGCCAAUCCCACAAAUCUGUUCUCAGUUCGGAUCGCAGUCUGCAACUCGACUGCGUGAAGCUGGAAUCGCUAGUAAUCGCGGAUCAGCAUGCCGCGGUGAAUACGUUCCC
Molecule: ribosomal RNA, 1339 nt
Filed under: Bacillus velezensis
Lineage: Bacteria; Bacillati; Bacillota; Bacilli; Caryophanales; Bacillaceae
Description: bacterial SSU rRNA
Rfam family: Bacterial small subunit ribosomal RNA
Source: RNAcentral